This is a long non-coding RNA of Equus caballus (horse), 1579 nucleotides long. Lineage: Eukaryota; Metazoa; Chordata; Mammalia; Perissodactyla; Equidae. The record is from Ensembl.
AUUAGCUUAGCAUCUUGUUAUCCAAACUCCCCUGAAGACGAAAUUCACCUGGGACUCUUGAUGUCUCUCCCCACUUCCCAAGACUCUGCCCUGGAGAUUCUGAGGCAGUGAAUUGGGAUAAAAGGGCUGAAAUUUUUUAUUUUUAACAGCAUUUCAGGUGAUUCUGAUGCUCGGGGAGGCUAGGGAAACUGACAUGUUCUCCAGAGCCAACAGGGAGAAGAGACCUGCGGGAAUUAAAUGGCCAUUCAAAUAGCACCAUAGAAUCUUACAGCAUGAAAGGGUGGUGGACCUUGUUUAAUCUCAUCCUUUCACUUUACUGAUGGGAAAACUGAGUCCCAACAAGGGGACGUGACUUGCCCGUGGCUGCACAGCCUAGGUAUAGCAGAUUUAGAAUUUGAACCAACAUUUCCUGAUCCCCAAGGCACUUUGCUCUCUUUUAACAUCUUCAGGACCAGCAAGUACCAGUUGGUGUGAAAGGUACAGAGGCAGAAGCAAUUGAGAACUCUGGGAGAUAGCCAAGUAGGGAUGAAUGGCAGCUCUUGACUGAGAACAUCUUCUGAAGUGACCCUGGUAGUAUGAAGUUAUUUUAAAUCUGUGAUAUCUCAUCUGUUUAGCAAUCAAAAAUGAGCUCGACGGCCCCUCCCAGACCGUAUAAUAGGCUGGCUGUUCAAGGAGCACUAGAGGUUUGCAGUUCAAGGCUCACACAGUGGUUCUGCUUCAUAAGAAAAUAGAGCAAAUCAAGAAAGAAACUGUGGAAAAGCCACUCUUUUUAGAAGUUAAUCAAACAGGAAUUACAGAGCUACGUUCAAUUUGGGGUCAUGUGUUUUAAUCACGACAUCUGGCCAUGGAGCAUCUGUCCUUUGGAAAGGAUGAAAGAAGGAAACCGGGGAGGUCCCGCUUGAGGAAACACCAGCAACCCUACCUCAACCCAGCUCCACGGUGGUGCCUGCAGUGUGUGAAUCAUGGCUGUGCAGGCUGUCUCAGGAGAGAAGCCAAGAUUCUGUCUUUAGCUUUCAAAGCAGCUCUUCAUCUUGUAAGAAUGUCAGCUGUUCACUUUGCAACAGAACCAGGCAGGAACAGCUUCAGACCUUCGACUCCAUUAAACCAGGACUUAGAUAAGACAAUUAAAUCUCCAAAGAUAAAGAUAUAGAAAAAGGCACCAUCACUGUUGCUUUUGAGCCCAAAUCUAGAUCAGGCCAGUUUAUUAUAAAGCCGUAGAAUUUUAUUAGGCUUUACAUUAAAUCAAUAAAGUCUAGAGCAAAGUUUGGAGAGCUCUGGAUGUAAUCAUAACAGAUUCCUUGGGAACCAAUGAAAUAGGCUCUGAAAUUGGCUUGAAAUUGGGACUUCUGCCAUGUUCAGAUGAAAUGACAGGAGUUUCAGCCAAGGUCCUCCAGCCAUAAUGAAAUGAUUGACUAUCCACUGCUGAUUGGACUCUGCAGGGUCAUACAGGAAAAAAUAUGCUUCCCUCUCUGAAUGUGACAUUUCCAGGUCCUAUGAUUAGUCUCCCAGGGGAACUCUUGGACAUAAGAUCCCAUAUCUUAGUUUUAGUUAUUUACCUUCUACUUUGUUCCAAGUAUUU